This 1535-nucleotide unclassified non-coding RNA is filed under the name Hevea brasiliensis (rubber tree). Lineage: Eukaryota; Viridiplantae; Streptophyta; Magnoliopsida; Malpighiales; Euphorbiaceae. The record is from RNAcentral.
GGUCAAAGAUAUAUUCAAUAUUACACACGAGUCAUUCCAAUCAGACACUUCCAUGGAAAGAAAGUAGCAAGAAUCCUUUUGAACAUUUACACUACUCAGUCUAGCACGAAAAUCAAAAUGUAAUAAAAUUGAAGAAUUAAAAUUAUAUUGUUCAACUUAAUAAUGGGUGCAGCAAUUGGAACUCUGUAAUACAUAUAAAGACAUAUACUGACUGCAUAAUUUCCAAGAUGAUCAAUUAUUAUAAGAAAUUCUUUAAAAUUCAUGCAAAAAUAAAAUUGAAAUGGUGGUAAUGAGGCCAUUAGAAACAGGAAGGUCUAAUAUUAUGGCAGAAUGUGUUUCUCAAAGGAACAGCUCCAAAAUGCUGGUUUUAAACAAGGGUACCGGUACACCAAACUUGAGCACUACAAUUAUUUCAAUUAUCUUAAAAACCAAUAAAUACACUCCACAAAUUGAACUUUUAAAUAUUUUUCACUGCCUAUUGUUCUCAGGGUUGCAGUCCAACGCAAAAAUUCUUUCCACUAGUCUUUGACCACACUGCAAUAUCUCAAUGAAGACGACCAAAUUACCAAGGAAUAGAUGACAUUUAUUGUUUUAACUGCUAAAUGUGACACACAAGUCAUUUCUUCCUUUUAGCACAAAAUACUGCUCAGACACACCAUCUAUGUACACUGUCAUGGUAAAGAAUAUAUAUUUCUUCCCCUUUUGUCUCUCAGGAUGGUAAUCCAGCAUUUGGCUCCACAGUUUAUCUUCAACCAUUUGGCAUAUCAAAAGAUGAUGAAUAAUUGAUUCAAGGUUGUCAAAAUCAAGCUGAAAACCCCAUAAAAACAAUUAACCUAACUAUUCCCACCUAGUAGCCAGUAGUCAACUUUAAUAGAUGAUUCCAUGAAAGCAAUUGAAAUACUCAAUUUAGAUCCUACACAAUUCCUAUCAGAUAACCAAGAUUCCAAGAAUUUCCUUAUUUCCAAUAAAUUUCCAACUACUUGCUGAACUUAAACUUAUAACUCGCUCGCUCUUUGGGAAUAAUUUGUAACAGAAAGUAUGAAAUAAUAACCCAAAUUUAAACUCAAAUUAGACUAAUUUCAGUAGCAUUGAAAAUUUAACUCCCAAUUUCCUCUCUCUUUCCACAAGUUCCCACCAACCAGACAGAACAGAUAAAGCCCAAAAAGCAGCAAUUGAGAAUCAAGAAUAUAUAGGACACUCAAAUUAAAUAAAAAAAUCCCACGCAUGACGUUUAUUAUGAUUAGUAUUGGCCUUCAAGUGCAAUUCAUAAACUUUCCUUUCUAAACAAUAACAACCACUUAGAAAAAAUAUCAAAAUUUUCUCGGCAUCCGAACGGAGAUAAAAAAAUGUAAUCAACGCUCAUAUUAAAUCAAGAAUCCCAUGCACGACCUUUAUUAUGAUUAGUACUGGUCUUCAAGCGCAAUUCAUAAACUUCCCUCUCCCAAACAACAACAAUCGCUUAAAAUAAUAUCAAAUUUUCUCGGCAUCCAAACAGAGACAAAAACAACAGAAGAACAAGGGACAUUACCUUCGCA